AAGACGCGAAAGGAGGUGUGACGUGCGAGGGCGAGCACCUAGUGUUUGAACGCAAAUGGUAGUCCCUGUGAGGGGAUUGUGGGCGAGGUAGAUUGUGAUUGUGUGGGUAGUUCAGUGCAUACUGGACAGGAAAAAGGAGGGAGAAAGAUUUUACAUGUACACAACUAGACUUGCGCAGGAUGACCCGCUGAACUUAA
This 197-nucleotide unclassified non-coding RNA is filed under the name uncultured fungus. Its description in RNAcentral is "sequence contains ITS1". Lineage: Eukaryota; Fungi. The record is from RNAcentral.